AUGCCACUCGGACAUUCCGAUUGCUCCGCGCCGUCCGCACCCACCUGACGACUGCUCGCCAGGUUUUGUGAGCC
This 74-nucleotide small RNA is filed under the name Xanthomonas sp. NCPPB 1560. Its description in RNAcentral is "sX9 sRNA". It matches the Rfam family "Xanthomonas sRNA sX9". The record is from RNAcentral. Lineage: Bacteria; Pseudomonadati; Pseudomonadota; Gammaproteobacteria; Lysobacterales; Lysobacteraceae. RNAcentral also lists the same sequence under 7 other names.